Molecule: ribosomal RNA, 322 nt
Filed under: uncultured Sandona
Lineage: Eukaryota; Cercozoa; Glissomonadida
Description: SSU rRNA
Rfam family: Eukaryotic small subunit ribosomal RNA
Source: RNAcentral
GAUUUCUGGCUUGAAACAUUUUGCCGGCCACGGUUUCGUGUGUUAGUGCUUGAUGUUCUGGCCAUCCUUCCAAUCGCCAUCGGCUUAUCUUCAUUGAUCGGUCGGUGGUAUUGGAUCUUUUACUUUGAAAAAAUUAGAGUGUUUCAAGCAGGCUUUAUGCUAUGAAUACAUUAGCAUGGAAUAAUAAUUUAGGACUUCGGUUCUAUUUUGUUGGUUUCUAGGACUGAAGUAAUGAUUGAUAGGGAUAGUUGGGGGUGCUAGUAUUCAGCGGCCAGAGGUGAAAUUCUCGGAUUCGCUGAAGACUAACUUAUGCGAAAGCAUU